AGUGGCGGACGGGUGAGUAACACGUAGGUAACCUGCCCCGGAGCGAGGGAUAACAUUUGGAAACGGAUGCUAAUACCGCAUAACAACAAAAGCCACAUGGCUUUUGUCUGAAAGAUGGCUUUGGCUAUCACUCUGGGAUGGACCUGCGGUGCAUUAGCUAGUUGGUAAGGUAACGGCUUACCAAGGCGAUGAUGCAUAGCCGAGUUGAGAGACUGAUCGGCCACAAUGGAACUGAGACACGGUCCAUACUCCUACGGGAGGCAGCAGUAGGGAAUCUUCCACAAUGGGCGCAAGCCUGAUGGAGCAACACCGCGUGAGUGAAGAAGGGUUUCGGCUCGUAAAGCUCUGUUGUUGGAGAAGAACGUGCGUGAGAGUAACUGUUCACGCAGUGACGGUAUCCAACCAGAAAGUCACGGCUAACUACGUGCCAGCAGCCGCGGUAAUACGUAGGUGGCAAGCGUUAUCCGGAUUUAUUGGGCGUAAAGCGAGCGCAGGCGGUUACUUAGGUCUGAUGUGAAAGCCUUCGGCUUAACCGAAGAAGUGCAUCGGAAACCGGGCGACUUGAGUGCAGAAGAGGACAGUGGAACUCCAUGUGUAGCGGUGGAAUGCGUAGAUAUAUGGAAGAACACCAGUGGCGAAGGCGGCUGUCUGGUCUGCAACUGACGCUGAGGCUCGAAAGCAUGGGUAGCGAACAGGAUUAGAUACCCUGGUAGUCCAUGCCGUAAACGAUGAGUGCUAGGUGU
RNAcentral lists this ribosomal RNA (743 nucleotides) under uncultured bacterium. RNAcentral describes it as "bacterial SSU rRNA". It matches the Rfam family "Bacterial small subunit ribosomal RNA", at positions 94 to 823 of the family's 1533-position model. The record is from RNAcentral.